CCCCCCUCCCUCGCCCACCCUCUGGCUCCCGACAAGAAGGCUCCUCCCCUAGCCCGAGACUUGGCGCCGUCUGACCCCGAGAGGAGUCCCGAUUUGCACCCCUUCUCCCAAUGUUGGACCCGCGCCGUUCUGUGGGAGCGUGUUGCGGUGUUUGCAGCCUGCCUUUGGCCACAGUGUGUGCACAGACCCUCCCUUGGUGCCAGAAGGAGCCCAGCCCUGCCGGUGCCUGGAGAACAGUAGAGAAGUCGUUUCGGCUGCUGUCAGCUACAGUGAGGGGAAGGAAGACUGCAGAACACAGAGUACAGCCUGGGAGUCUGAGAGGAUCAGCGGCAGAAAGAACAGUACCAG
Long non-coding RNA from Condylura cristata (star-nosed mole), 348 nucleotides. RefSeq lists it as uncharacterized. The transcript has 3 exons. The record is from RefSeq and is a predicted model, not a curated record. Lineage: Eukaryota; Metazoa; Chordata; Mammalia; Eulipotyphla; Talpidae.